RNAcentral lists this ribosomal RNA (450 nucleotides) under uncultured bacterium. Its description in RNAcentral is "bacterial SSU rRNA". It matches the Rfam family "Bacterial small subunit ribosomal RNA", at positions 329 to 794 of the family's 1533-position model. The record is from RNAcentral.
GACCAGACUCCUACGGGAGGCAGCAGUGGGGGAUAUUGCACAAUGGGGGGAACCCUGAUGCAGCGACGCCGCGUGGGUGAAGGAGUGCUUCGGCAUGUAAAGCCCUAUCGGCAGGGAAGAAGCAAGACGGUACCUGACUAAGAAGCCCCGGCUAACUACGUGCCAGCAGCCGCGGUAAUACGUAGGGGGCAAGCGUUAUCCGGAUUUACUGGGUGUAAAGGGAGCGUAGACGGCCAGACAAGUCUGAAGUGAAAAUCCAGCGCUUAACGUUGGAAGUGCUUUGGAAACUGCCGGGCUGGAGUGCAGGAGGGGCAGGCGGAAUUCCUAGUGUAGCGGUGAAAUGCGUAGAUAUUAGGAGGAACACCAGUGGCGAAGGCGGCUUACUGGACUGUAACUGACGUUGAGGCUCGAAAGCGUGGGGAGCAAACAGGAUUAGAUACCCUCGUACAU